RNAcentral lists this ribosomal RNA (253 nucleotides) under uncultured bacterium. RNAcentral's name for it is "partial 16S ribosomal RNA". It matches the Rfam family "Bacterial small subunit ribosomal RNA", at positions 524 to 776 of the family's 1533-position model. The record is from RNAcentral.
UACGGGGGGGGCAAGCGUUGUUCGGAAUUACUGGGCGUAAAGGGCUCGUAGGCGGCCAACUAAGUCGGACGUGAAAUCCCUCAGCUUAACUGGGGAACUGCGUCCGAUACUGGAUGGCUUGAGUUCGGGAGAGGGAUGCGGAAUUCCAGGUGUAGCGGUGAAAUGCGUAGAUAUCUGGAGGAACACCGGUGGCGAAGGCGGCAUCCUGGACCGAUACUGACGCUGAGGAGCGAAAGCCAGGGGAGCAAACGGG